AGGAUAAACGCUGGCGGCGUGCCUAACACAUGCAAGUCGAACGUCUCUUCUUUCGGGAAGAGGAGUGGCGGACGGGUGAGGAACACGUGGGAACCUGCCCUUUAGUGAGGAAUACCGGCGAGAAAUCGCCGACAAGACCGCAUAGCCCUCUUUGAUGAGAGUCAAAGAAGGAAAGCUUCGCAAGAGGCGCUAGAGGAGGGGCCUGCGUCCGAUUAGCUAGUUGGUGGGGUAAGAGCCUACCAAGGCGUCGAUCGGUAGCUGGUCUGAGAGGACGAUCAGCCACACUGGGAUUGAGAACGGCCCAGACUCCUACGGGGGGCAGCAGUGAGGAAUUUUCGGCAAUGGGGGAAACCCUGACCGAGCAACGCCGCGUGCAGGAAGACGGCCUUCGGGUUGUAAACUGCUUUCUUUGGGACGAGGAAGGACGGUACCAGAGGAAUCAGCCCCGGCUCACUACGUGCCAGCAGCCGC
This 471-nucleotide ribosomal RNA is filed under the name uncultured bacterium. RNAcentral describes it as "SSU rRNA". It matches the Rfam family "Bacterial small subunit ribosomal RNA", at positions 26 to 518 of the family's 1533-position model. The record is from RNAcentral.